RNAcentral lists this ribosomal RNA (253 nucleotides) under uncultured bacterium. Its description in RNAcentral is "partial 16S ribosomal RNA". It matches the Rfam family "Bacterial small subunit ribosomal RNA", at positions 524 to 776 of the family's 1533-position model. The record is from RNAcentral.
UACGAAGGGUGCAAACGUUGCUCGGAAUUACUGGGCGUAAAGGGUUCGUAGGCGGUGCGGCAAGUUGGGAGUGAAAUCUCUGGGCUUAACUCAGGGGCUGCUUUCAAAACUGCCGCGCUCGAGUGCGAGAGAGGUCAGUGGAAUUGCAGGUGUAGCGGUGAAAUGCGUAGAUAUCUGCAGGAACACCCGUGGCGAAGGCGGCUGACUGGAUCGCAACUGACGCUGAGGAACGAAAGCUAGGGGAGCAAACAGG